This is a long non-coding RNA of Oxyura jamaicensis (ruddy duck), 1210 nucleotides long. RefSeq lists it as uncharacterized. The transcript has 3 exons. The record is from RefSeq and is a predicted model, not a curated record. NCBI's taxonomy places the organism in Eukaryota, Metazoa, Chordata, Aves, Anseriformes, Anatidae.
GCCUUGCUGAGUAGCUACACUUAGAACAUCAGAAGAGACAUUCAACCAAACCUGCUCAGCUGAGAGGGGACGUUAUUUUUCUUAGCCUGAUUAAAACUUCUUCUUUGUCUUUACUAACACCUGUUUGACUCAAGCACCUGAAUAAACUUUGAGGAGGAAAGAUAGCUUUGUUAAAGACUCAAGUGGACCUCAAAAGAUCAGGUUCCACUUCUGGGACCCUCAGCAAAUCCAGGGGAAGCCGGGCUUGACAUUCCUAUUGAGAUCUGUGGAGAAAAAGCAGGAAAACCCAAUCAUUUCUUUCAAAAACAAUUAGGUGAAAAGCCCCAACCCAAACAAACAAAUUCUCAAAAGUUAAGGUUUGUACAAUUUAAAAGAAGCAAUCAUAACAAAACAUAAAUUACUAGCAUUAUUUUUGGAGUGUUGUUACAGAAAUAUGAAAUGUACUGGCUGUUUUCUCAAGUGUAGUGACCUCUGUUUGUGUGGACCGUGUUGUCUGUUGGGGUAUUGUGAACAAUUGCCCCAGUAUUCUUGACCUAGAUCUGGCUGCAAAUACACCACUGAACAGACAUCAAAGCUGGUCUGAGGAACAUGUAGUAGCUGAAGCACUGGAAAUGAAAUUAUUGAGGAAACAGCUGCACCCCUGAAAGCAUCACAGAUGAAAAGUGGCUUUGGGAAAUAUUCCUUUUGGUGAGGCUAUAAGACACAUUACAGGGCUGGAUGCAUCAGUACAGUCUUCACGGGCUGGGAUAAGAAUACCAUUGAAGGCUCCUAGAAUUGCUCAGAUGAUUGAAAGGGAAGGGUGAAACAAUAAGAUAAGCCAUUUUCUUGAGGAUGGUAGAGAACAGAGAGGGAAAUGCAGCCAGUCUGGGGAGGAACCACUCUCACAUCCAAGCAGGAGGAUAGCUGGCUCAUAAAAUGCUGAAUGUCCUUGGGGAUCUCCAGGUUACUAGGUCCCCUUACCAUCCUUUAUCAACAGCAUGGUGAGGAACUUCUGCUCAAGAGCGAUGUCUGGGCACUGCACCUAGGCAUCUGGCAAUUGGACAGGGGUGAAAUCUCCCAUCCAGAUGGCUCUAGAGGCUGAGAAUUUGGUAAGGAUUUUGUGAGGUAGUCACAGAGGAUUCCAGGUAGUCACUCCACAACUCUGCUUCUCCCAACCUGCUUGUUUGUCUUCUGUCUUCCUUCUGUGGUGGAGAAAGCACAGACCACAAUG